RNAcentral lists this ribosomal RNA (442 nucleotides) under uncultured bacterium. RNAcentral describes it as "partial 16S ribosomal RNA". It matches the Rfam family "Bacterial small subunit ribosomal RNA", at positions 338 to 795 of the family's 1533-position model. The record is from RNAcentral.
CCUACGGGUGGCAGCAGUGGGGAAUAUUGGGCAAUGGGCGCAAGCCUGACCCAGCAACGCCGCGUGAAGGAAGAAGGCUUUCGGGUUGGAAACUUCUUUUGUCAGGGAAGAGUAGAAGACGGUACCUGACGAAUAAGCCACUGCUAACUACGUGCCAGCCGCCUCGGUAAUACGUAGGUGGCAAGCGUUGUCCGAAUUUACUGGGUGUAAAGGGCGUGUAGCCGGGUUGACAAGUCAGAUGUGAAAUCCUGCGGCUUAACCGAAGAACUGCAUUUGAAACUGUUGAUCUUGAGUACUGGAGAGGCAAAUGGAAUUCGUAGUGUAGCGGUGAAAUGCGUAGAUAUUAGGAGGAACACCAGUGGCGAAGGCGGUCUGCUGGACAGCAACUGACGGUGAGGCGCGAAAGCGUGGGGAGCAAACAGGAUUAGAUACCCUGGUAGUC